Molecule: ribosomal RNA, 451 nt
Filed under: uncultured bacterium
Lineage: Bacteria
Description: partial 16S ribosomal RNA
Rfam family: Bacterial small subunit ribosomal RNA
Source: RNAcentral
GUGGGGAAUAUUGGACAAUGGGGGGAACCCUGAUCCAGCCAUGCCGCGUGUGUGAAGAAGGCCUUUUGGUUGUAAAGCACUUUAAGCGAGGAGGAGGCUACCGAGAUUAAUACUCUUGGAUAGUGGACGUUACUCGCAGAAUAAGCACCGGCUAACUCUGUGCCAGCAGCCGCGGUAAUACAGAGGGUGCAAGCGUUAAUCGGAUUUACUGGGCGUAAAGCGCGCGUAGGUGGCCAAUUAAGGCAAAUGUGAAAUCCCCGAGCUUAACUUGGGAAUUGCAUUCGAUACUGGUUGGCUAGAGUAUGGGAGAGGAUGGUAGAAUUCCAGGUGUAGCGGUGAAAUGCGUAGAGAUCUGGAGGAAUACCGAUGGCGAAGGCAGCCAUCUGGCCUAAUACUGACACUGAGGUGCGAAAGCAUGGGGAGCAAACAGGAUUAGAAACCCUGGUAGUCC